UACAGGAUAUUAAGUUAGAUAGGCCACACUAGAAACAUGUACUACUUCUACUUAAAAACCUUAUCCUGAACAGAAGACAUUUAACCACUGAUCAAGUGCAGUGCGUAUUAAAAAUGGAGUUCCACUAAGGCUAUAAAGCUGUUGUGGUUUGUAUGUGAUAAGUUUUUUGUUCCGGUUUCAGGUUACUAGCUUCAGACACAAACCACGGCAGCUUAUAUGGCCGUAGAAUUCUACCUGCACUGAACCCAUAGGAAUAAUAGAUAUUAUUAAUAUCUAUUAUUUUUAUGACUAAACCCCAAUUAGCUCCUGUUGGUCGCUAAAACCUUCUGUUCGGCAGAUGAUUCCUGCUAUCAUAUAUGUCAGUCGUUCAUAUUAAGGUCAUGUUCACGAAGCAAUUUGUGCUGCAAGUUCCAACGCAAUUUCGGAUACAGUCAUACAGAGCCAUGUUAUCUAAAAAGUACUCGCAUGGAAAUUGUGAGCAUGGCCUGCAUUCCACUCUACCGACACUUUCUUCUCGUAACACACCCUUAAAUUAAGUGACAAGAAAAUGGGAUAAAAAAUGUCAGCAAAGUCAACUGUGGGCCAUGCUCACCAUUUUCCUGUGACUGCUUUUUAGAUAACAUGACUCUAGGUCAGAAAUUGCGUUGCAAGUUGUAGCAAAAAUUGGCUUUAGCUAAGGUUACCAUCGAAACCCACCAAUGAAAUGUGCCAGCCAUACUUUGCCUUUUGCUGAUAAAUAAUUUUCCAUCUCUUUCAGGAUUAAUGUGUAGCGUAGGAAAAAGUGCGAAUAAUCAAAUUGUAGACGAGUUUGGAAUCGGCUAAUAGUGAUAUUGGACAUUUUACUCUUUUGGUAAAUAUCAGGAUUUUGGGCAUCCCACUCAAUGUAACGAAUAGACCUUUCCCCUUUUGAGUGAAAUUUUGGUCUAGACAAGUCUGGACAAAAAUUUCAUCACAGCUUGAAAGAGCAUCACAAAAUUAGUAAUCUUCCGAAGUUUCGUUGCGAAAUGUUGUAAAAUGCGGAUAAUAUAGCCUUGCGAAGUUUGCCGUUUUUCAGUCAUUUUGCAUUACAAACGGGAAAUUGAUAAUCAGAUGAUCAAACUGAUGGAAAAUGUUAGAUUGUAAUGCAAAAUGACUGAAAAACGGCAAACUUCGCAAGCUGUAUUUUCCGCAUUUUACAACAUUUCGCAACGAAACUUCGGAAUAUUACUAAUUUUGUGAUGCUCUUUCAAGCUGUGAUGAAAUUGUUGCCCAGGCGUAUCUAGAUCAAAAUUUCACUCAUAAGGGCAUUAAGGGGAAAGGUCUAUUGUUGAAGAGAUUUGUAGAUCGACGUUCGAGUGGAAUUUCCAUCUACAGACCUCUUCAAUAAUAGACAAUUCCCAUUAUAGACUAAUUUUAGAACUAGGCAAGGAGAUGCAAAUAAAUCAC
This is a non-coding RNA of Paramuricea clavata, 1425 nucleotides long. The record is from the annotation of a GenBank genome assembly. NCBI's taxonomy places the organism in Eukaryota, Metazoa, Cnidaria, Anthozoa, Malacalcyonacea, Plexauridae.